UGGCUCAGAUUGAACGCUGGCGGCAGGCCUAACACAUGCAAGUCGAACGGUAGCACAGAGAGCUUGCUCUUGGGUGACGAGUGGCGGACGGGUGAGUAAUGUCUGGGAAACUGCCCGAUGGAGGGGGAUAACUACUGGAAACGGUAGCUAAUACCGCAUAACGUCGCAAGACCAAAGUGGGGGACCUUCGGGCCUCACACCAUCGGAUGUGCCCAGAUGGGAUUAGCUAGUAGGUGGGGUAAUGGCUCACCUAGGCGACGAUCCCUAGCUGGUCUGAGAGGAUGACCAGCCACACUGGAACUGAGACACGGUCCAGACUCCUACGGGAGGCAGCAGUGGGGAAUAUUGCACAAUGGGCGCAAGCCUGAUGCAGCCAUGCCGCGUGUAUGAAGAAGGCCUUCGGGUUGUAAAGUACUUUCAGCGAGGAGGAAGGCRUUGUGGUUAAUAACCGCAGUGAUUGACGUUACUCGCAGAAGAAGCACCGGCUAACUCCGUGCCAGCAGCCGCGGUAAUACGGAGGGUGCAAGCGUUAAUCGGAAUUACUGGGCGUAAAGCGCACGCAGGCGGUCUGUCAAGUCGGAUGUGAAAUCCCCGGGCUCAACCUGGGAACUGCAUUCGAAACUGGCAGGCUAGAGUCUUGUAGAGGGGGGUAGAAUUCCAGGUGUAGCGGUGAAAUGCGUAGAGAUCUGGAGGAAUACCGGUGGCGAAGGCGGCCCCCUGACAAAGACU
Molecule: ribosomal RNA, 729 nt
Filed under: Kluyvera intermedia
Lineage: Bacteria; Pseudomonadati; Pseudomonadota; Gammaproteobacteria; Enterobacterales; Enterobacteriaceae
Description: bacterial SSU rRNA
Rfam family: Bacterial small subunit ribosomal RNA
Source: RNAcentral